AUUGAACGCUGGCGGCAGGCCUAACACAUGCAAGUCGAACGGCAGCACAGAAGAGCUUGCUCUUUGGGUGGCGAGUGGCGGACGGGUGAGUAAUGUCUGGGAAACUGCCCGAUGGAGGGGGAUAACUACUGGAAACGGUAGCUAAUACCGCAUAACGUCGCGAGACCAAAGUGGGGGACCUUCGGGCCUCACACCAUCGGAUGGGCCCAGAUGGGAUUAGCUAGUAGGUGGGGUAAUGGCUCACCUAGGCGACGAUCCCUAGCUGGUCUGAGAGGAUGACCAGCCACACUGGAACUGAGACACGGUCCAGACUCUUACGGGAGGCAGCAGUGGGGAAUAUUGCACAAUGGGCGCAAGCCUGAUGCAGCCAUGCCGCGUGUAUGAAGAAGGCCUUCGGGUUGUAAAGUACUUUCAGCGGGGAGGAAGGCGGUGAGGUUAAUAACCUCGCCGAUUGACGUUACCCGCAGAAGAAGCACCGGCUAACUCCGUGCCAGCCGCCGCGGUAA
This 506-nucleotide ribosomal RNA is filed under the name uncultured bacterium. RNAcentral's name for it is "partial 16S ribosomal RNA". It matches the Rfam family "Bacterial small subunit ribosomal RNA", at positions 29 to 523 of the family's 1533-position model. The record is from RNAcentral.